This is a long non-coding RNA of Ostrea edulis (European flat oyster), 333 nucleotides long. RefSeq lists it as uncharacterized. The record is from RefSeq and is a predicted model, not a curated record. Lineage: Eukaryota; Metazoa; Mollusca; Bivalvia; Ostreida; Ostreidae. The transcript is spliced from 2 exons.
UGGUUGCCUUAGAACUAUUCCGAAAGGUGUUGUGAUGAAAGGGGUUGAAAAGUCGACGACAUUUGCUCGUUUAGAAGUUAUUGUAAUUGGACCAGCAGCAAACGCCGCGUUCUGUAAUGAAGGAAAUUAAAUGCAGGUAUGGAGAAGACUACAAUAAAAUUUGGACAGCACCAUGAUACAAAAAUGACGUAAAAUAACGAACAAACAUCAACAAAGCGGUUUAAAGGUUUUUUCUUCUUUGAAAACAAUUACAUUGUACAUUUUGAAACAGGUAUGAUACUGGUGAACAUGCAUACUAUUUUGGGAAAGGAAUAAAUCUGGUAUAUAACUUGU